RNAcentral lists this ribosomal RNA (1022 nucleotides) under Chaetasbolisia erysiphoides. RNAcentral's name for it is "SSU rRNA". It matches the Rfam family "Eukaryotic small subunit ribosomal RNA", at positions 75 to 1116 of the family's 1831-position model. Lineage: Eukaryota; Fungi; Ascomycota; Dothideomycetes; Pleosporales; Didymellaceae. The record is from RNAcentral.
UAUACCGUGAAACUGCGAAUGGCUCAUUAAAUCAGUUAUCGUUUAUUUGAUAGUACCUYACUACUUGGAUAACCGUGGUAAUUCUAGAGCUAAUACAUGCUGAAAACCCCGACUUCGGGAGGGGUGUAUUUAUUAGAUAAAAAACCAACGCCCUUCGGGGCUUCUUGGUGAUUCAUGAUAACUUCACGGAUCGCAUGGCCUUGCGCCGGCGACGGUUCAUUCAAAUUUCUGCCCUAUCAACUUUCGAUGGUAAGGUAUUGGCUUACCAUGGUUUCAACGGGUAACGGGGAAUUAGGGUUCGAUUCCGGAGAGGGAGCCUGAGAAACGGCUACCACAUCCAAGGAAGGCAGCAGGCGCGCAAAUUACCCAAUCCCGACACGGGGAGGUAGUGACAAUAAAUACUGAUACAGGGCUCUUUUGGGUCUUGUAAUUGGAAUGAGUACAAUUUAAACCUCUUAACGAGGAACAAUUGGAGGGCAAGUCUGGUGCCAGCAGCCGCGGUAAUUCCAGCUCCAAUAGCGUAUAUUAAAGUUGUUGCAGUUAAAAAGCUCGUAGUUGAAACUUGGGCCUGGCUGGCAGGUCCGCCUCACCGCGUGUACUUGUCCGGCCGGGCCUUUCCUUCUGGAGAACCUCAUGCCCUUCACUGGGUGUGUUGGGGAACCAGGACUUUUACUUUGAAAAAAUUAGAGUGUUCAAAGCAGGCCUUUGCUCGAAUACGUUAGCAUGGAAUAAUAGAAUAGGACGUGCGGUCCUAUUUUGUUGGUUUCUAGGACCGCCGUAAUGAUUAAUAGGGACAGUCGGGGGCAUCAGUAUUCAAUUGUCAGAGGUGAAAUUCUUGGAUUUAUUGAAGACUAACUACUGCGAAAGCAUUUGCCAAGGAUGUUUUCAUUAAUCAGUGAACGAAAGUUAGGGGAUCGAAGACGAUCAGAUACCGUCGUAGUCUUAACCGUAAACUAUGCCGACUAGGGAUCGGGCGAUGUUCUUUUUCUGACUCGCUCGGCACCUUACGAGAAAUCAAAGUU